GACAGAGGGUGCAAACGUUGUUCGGAAUUACUGGGCGUAAAGGGCGCGUAGGUGGCGACCCAAGUCGAUGGUGAAAGCUCGCCGCUCAACGGCGAGUCGGCCACCGAUACUGGGUUGCUGGAGCACUGUAGAGGCAGAUGGAAUUCCGGGUGUAGCGGUGGAAUGCGUAGAGAUCCGGAAGAACACCGGUGGCGAAGGCGGUCUGCUGGGCAGUUGCUGACACUGAGGCGCGACAGCGUGGGGAGCAAACAGG
RNAcentral lists this ribosomal RNA (253 nucleotides) under uncultured bacterium. RNAcentral's name for it is "partial 16S ribosomal RNA". It matches the Rfam family "Bacterial small subunit ribosomal RNA", at positions 524 to 776 of the family's 1533-position model. The record is from RNAcentral.